GACUUUAUGUUUUAAUUAAGAUUAUCAGAAAUUUAUUUUUUAGUUAUGAUCGGGGUGAUUUUUAAAGAUUAUUAAUCUUUAAAAUUUUUUAAUAAAAAAGUUCCAUUAGUAGUGAUUUUUUGAUAAAAAUACUCUAGGGAUAACAGCGUUAUUAUUUUGGAUAGUUCAUAUAGAUAAAAUAGUUUGCGACCUCGAUGUUGGAUUUAGAGAUCGGAUUCUUUUAUGACUGAAGAAGUUAUAAGGGAGAAGUUUGCUCAACUUUUAAAGUCCUACUUGAUCUGAGUUCAGACCGGA
Molecule: ribosomal RNA, 294 nt
Filed under: Ornithodoros coriaceus
Lineage: Eukaryota; Metazoa; Arthropoda; Arachnida; Ixodida; Argasidae
Description: partial 16S ribosomal RNA
Rfam family: Bacterial large subunit ribosomal RNA (bases 139-294)
Source: RNAcentral